Long non-coding RNA from Marmota flaviventris (yellow-bellied marmot), 965 nucleotides. RefSeq lists it as uncharacterized. NCBI's taxonomy places the organism in Eukaryota, Metazoa, Chordata, Mammalia, Rodentia, Sciuridae. The record is from RefSeq and is a predicted model, not a curated record.
CUACCUCUUUGGAUGGCUUCCUGAGCACAUCUCCUACUCCGCCCCCACUCCGCAGCCCAUGACUCAGGACAGUGACAAUGCACAUCAGCAGCGUCUCGCACGUGUGCUCCUUAUCCUGUUCUGUUUCUUCCACAGGGACCAGCUCUGUCAGUGGGGCAAGUCAUGACACAGUUAAAACAUGAGGGGAACAGCGGUACUGUGAUUCUGAAAUGACGCUCCCGAAUGUUGUCUGAGCAGCCAGCAGGUGCCAGGAAGAACCAGAUGAAGGAAUCAAGAGUCAAAGACCUGUUUUACAAAGGGGCCACUCUGUUCUCACCCCUUAAUUCCCUGCUAACUUCUCAAGCCAGGUCAGGAUGGCCCUCCUUCUAUGUCCUGCCUAUGAACAGAGAAGUCUUUUGAGGUCUGAAACGAAAACUUGGAGUCACAUAUUCUAACAUAAGCACAUAGCCUACCACCGUCCAGGCAGGCAGGAUCCAUGCAUACUCACACCAGCAAAGAAUCAUCCUCAUGUCAUCCCCAGCGUCACCAGUACUAACCACAAUAGUGUUUUUUAACUUCCCCUGACAGACAUCACAGACUCUAAAUUCCCCGAAGGAAGUGUCUGGUGCCAGGAGGCCCUCACCAAAGGCUUGUUCAGUGACUACAACUCAUACCUGGGUCCCGACUCAACUCUCAGGCAGGACCAACAGGAAGCCUGAGCUUACUUUCUAUUAAAAGUGAUGCAAAGGAACACUGCAGGUCCCCUGCCUGAAUCGGAUUUCUUCAAGGGAAAGAGGAAGACAAUUUCCGUAUCAUGAGCAUCAUCCUACAAUUAGAUUAUCCCUGCAGUCAAAGAGACUCUACCACUUUUUGUCAUCUCUUGCUAUUGCAAGUUCUAUUUAGAGUGUCCCACGAGAUGGCUUGGUUAUAUAACACGAGCCAAUGUGGCUAAAAAUACAGUUCUGUAAAACACUCAUUAAAAAAAA